Pan troglodytes (chimpanzee) is the source of this 508-nucleotide long non-coding RNA. RefSeq lists it as uncharacterized. The transcript is spliced from 4 exons. Lineage: Eukaryota; Metazoa; Chordata; Mammalia; Primates; Hominidae. The record is from RefSeq and is a predicted model, not a curated record.
UUCAGGGAAUGUCUCGUGCAUGGGCGUGGAUGAUCAAAGGUCAGCUCUUGGUCAAUGAUCUCAUUCUGUUGCCCAGGCUGGAGUGCAGUGCUGUGGUGUGAUCACAGCUCAGUGAAGCCUCGACCUCCCCGGCUCAACAGAUCCUCCCAUCUCAGUCUCAAAAGUGGCCUAGAUGCUGGCAAGAGUGGAUUUCUGGAAUUGGUCACAAUCAGGAAUAUAUUUCUGGAAUCCAGAGAGGCAUAGGGUCUCACUGUUUGACCCAGGCUGGUCUCGAACUUCUGGUCUCAAGAGAUCCUCCUGUCUCAGCCUCUCAAGUAGCAAGGAUUACAGGUGCAUGCCAUCAUGCCCAGCAAGUGUGCAUUUCUAACAAUCUCUCAAGGGAUACCAAUGAUGCUGGUCUAGGAACCACUCUUUGAGGAACAAGGCAUUAGAGAACUAGUUCAUUCACAUAGUUGCAAACUUUUUUCCUUUUAUAAGUAUUUGUGAUUAAAAUUUGAUGGAGUUGUGA